UACGAAGGGGGCUAGCGUUGCUCGGAAUCACUGGGCGUAAAGGGUGCGUAGGCGGGGCUUUAAGUCAGGGGGGAAAUCCUGGAGCUCAACUCCAGAACUGCCUUUGAUACUGAAGAUCUUGAGUCCGGGAGAGGUGAGUGGAACUGCGAGUGUAGAGGUGAAAUUUGUAGAUAUUCGCAAGAACACCAGUGGCGAAGGCGGCUCACUGGCCCGGUACUGACGCUGAGGCACGAAAGCGUGGGGAGCAAACAGG
Molecule: ribosomal RNA, 253 nt
Filed under: uncultured bacterium
Lineage: Bacteria
Description: partial 16S ribosomal RNA
Rfam family: Bacterial small subunit ribosomal RNA
Source: RNAcentral